This 662-nucleotide ribosomal RNA is filed under the name Staphylococcus aureus. RNAcentral's name for it is "bacterial SSU rRNA". It matches the Rfam family "Bacterial small subunit ribosomal RNA", at positions 202 to 856 of the family's 1533-position model. The record is from RNAcentral. Lineage: Bacteria; Bacillati; Bacillota; Bacilli; Caryophanales; Staphylococcaceae.
ACGGUCUUGCUGUCACUUAUAGAUGGAUCCGCGCUGCAUUAGCUAGUUGGUAAGGUAACGGCUUACCAAGGCAACGAUGCAUAGCCGACCUGAGAGGGUGAUCGGCCACACUGGAACUGAGACACGGUCCAGACUCCUACGGGAGGCAGCAGUAGGGAAUCUUCCGCAAUGGGCGAAAGCCUGACGGAGCAACGCCGCGUGAGUGAUGAAGGUCUUCGGAUCGUAAAACUCUGUUAUUAGGGAAGAACAUAUGUGUAAGUAACUGUGCACAUCUUGACGGUACCUAAUCAGAAAGCCACGGCUAACUACGUGCCAGCAGCCGCGGUAAUACGUAGGUGGCAAGCGUUAUCCGGAAUUAUUGGGCGUAAAGCGCGCGUAGGCGGUUUUUUAAGUCUGAUGUGAAAGCCCACGGCUCAACCGUGGAGGGUCAUUGGAAACUGGAAAACUUGAGUGCAGAAGAGGAAAGUGGAAUUCCAUGUGUAGCGGUGAAAUGCGCAGAGAUAUGGAGGAACACCAGUGGCGAAGGCGACUUUCUGGUCUGUAACUGACGCUGAUGUGCGAAAGCGUGGGGAUCAAACAGGAUUAGAUACCCUGGUAGUCCACGCCGUAAACGAUGAGUGCUAAGUGUUAGGGGGUUUCCGCCCCUUAGUGCUGCAGCUAAC